GGGUCAGAGUGGCUGAGGAGGUUUCUGUUCUGACAGAGAGCUGAGCUGGGUCAGAGUGGCUGAGGAGGUUUCUGUUCUGACAGAGAGCUGAGCUGGGUCAGAGUGGCUGAGGAGGUUUCUGUUCUGACAGAGAGCUGAGCUGGGUCAGAGUGGCUGAGGAGGUUUCUGUUCUGACAGAGAGCUGAGCUGGGUCAGAGUGGCUGAGGAGGUUUCUGUUCUGACAGAGAGCUGAGCUGGGUCAGAGUGGCUGAGGAGGUUUCUGUUCUGACAGAGAGCUGAGCUGGGUCAGAGUGGCUGAGGAGGUUUCUGUUCUGACAGAGAGCUGAGCUGGGUCAGAGUGGCUGAGGAGGUUUCUGUUCUGACAGAGAGCUGAGCUGGGUCAGAGUGGCUGAGGAGGUUUCUGUUCUGACAGAGAUCUGAGCUGGGUCAGAGUGGCUGAGGAGGCUUCUGUUCUGACAGAGAGCUGAGCUGGGUCAGAGUGGCUGAGGAGGUUUCUGUUCUGACAGAGAGCUGAGCUGGGUCAGAGUGGCUGAGGAGGUUUCUGUUCUGACAGAGAGCUGAGCUGGGUCAGAGUGGCUGAGGAGGUUUCUGUUCUGACAGAGAGCUGAGCUGGGUCAGAGUGGCUGAGGAGGUUUCUGUUCUGACAGAGAUCUGAGCUGGGUCAGAGUGGCUGAGGAGGUUUCUGUUCAUAUGCAUAUGCUCUUUUAUUUCUGGGAAGGAAAUUAAUUGCUGACAGAAGUUAAAUCUGUCAUUAUAAUCCUAAUUCUUAAUCCCUCUCUUAUCCUGUCUCUUUCCAUCCCCUCCUCCACCUUUCCUCUCUUCUUCUCUCUCCUUCCCUCUCUUCUUCUAUCUCCUUCCCUCUCUUCUUCUCUCUCCUUCCCUCUCUUCUUCUCUCCUUUCCUCUCUUCUUCUCACCACUUCCCUCUUUUCUUCUCUCCUUCACUCUCUUCUCUCUCCUUCCCUCUCUUCUCUCUCCUUCCCUCUCCUUCUCUCUUCUUCACCUCUCUCCUCUCUUCUUCUUCUUUCUCCUUCCCUCUCUUCUUCUCCUCUCUCCUUCCCUCUCUUCUUCUUUCUCCUUCCCUCUCUUCUUCUCUUCU
Long non-coding RNA from Oncorhynchus keta (chum salmon), 1097 nucleotides. RefSeq lists it as uncharacterized. Lineage: Eukaryota; Metazoa; Chordata; Actinopteri; Salmoniformes; Salmonidae. The transcript has 3 exons. The record is from RefSeq and is a predicted model, not a curated record.